This 211-nucleotide long non-coding RNA is filed under the name Panax ginseng (ginseng). Its description in RNAcentral is "long non-coding RNA (PGIN_LNC011133)". Lineage: Eukaryota; Viridiplantae; Streptophyta; Magnoliopsida; Apiales; Araliaceae. The record is from RNAcentral.
AAUUUUUUAGCUUUUUGAUGAAUCCCAGAAAGGGCACUUAGUCAAAGAUUCAAUCUUUUGAUGAAAUUGGUGUUAUUUUUAUUGCAGAGGCGAAUGGUGGGAUUGAAGCCGGUUCGAUCUGAGGUUUAGUGGUUUCACAAUUCUAAGUAAAGGGUAUGCUCUCUGCUGCUUUAAUUUUACUUCCAGGGGUUAAAAUUUCAAAAUUUGGUAG